CUACGGGACGCAGCAGUGGGGAAUAUUGGACAAUGGGCGCAAGCCUGAUCCAGCCAUGCCGCGUGAGUGACGACGGCCUUAGGGUUGUAAAGCUCUUUCAGCAGGGAUGAUAAUGACAGUACCUGCAGAAGAAGCCCCGGCUAACUUCGUGCCAGCAGCCGCGGUAAUACGAAGGGGGCUAGCGUUGUUCGGAAUUACUGGGCGUAAAGCGCACGUAGGCGGAUUGCUAAGUCAGGGGUGAAAUCCCAGAGCUCAACUCUGGAACUGCCUUUGAUACUGGCAAUCUCGAGUCCGGAAGAGGUGAGUGGAACUCCUAGUGUAGAGGUGGAAUUCGUAGAUAUUAGGAAGAACACCAGUGGCGAAGGCGGCUCACUGGUCCGGUACUGACGCUGAGGUGCGAAAGCGUGGGGAGCAAACAGGAUUAGAUACCCGAGUAGUC
RNAcentral lists this ribosomal RNA (439 nucleotides) under uncultured bacterium. RNAcentral's name for it is "partial 16S ribosomal RNA". It matches the Rfam family "Bacterial small subunit ribosomal RNA", at positions 339 to 795 of the family's 1533-position model. The record is from RNAcentral.